GACGAACGCUGGCGGCGUGCCUAAUACAUGCAAGUUGAGCGCUGAAGGUUGGUACUUGUACCAACUGGAUGAGCAGCGAACGGGUGAGUAACGCGUGGGGAAUCUGCCUUUGAGCGGGGGACAACAUUUGGAAACGAAUGCUAAUACCGCAUAAAAACUUUAAACACAAGUUUUAAGUUUGAAAGAUGCAAUUGCAUCACUCAAAGAUGAUCCCGCGUUGUAUUAGCUAGUUGGUGAGGUAAAGGCUCACCAAGGCGAUGAUACAUAGCCGACCUGAGAGGGUGAUCGGCCACAGUGGGACUGAGACACGGCCCAAACUCCUACGGGAGGCAGCAGUAGGGAAUCUUCGGCAAUGGACGAAAGUCUGACCGAGCAACGCCGCGUGAGGGAAGAAGGUUGUCGGAUCGUAAAACUCGGUUGGUAGAGAAGAACGUUGGUGAGAGUGGAAAGCUCAUCAAGUGACGGUAACUACCCAGAAAGGGACGGCUAACUACGUG
This 497-nucleotide ribosomal RNA is filed under the name uncultured bacterium. Its description in RNAcentral is "partial 16S ribosomal RNA". It matches the Rfam family "Bacterial small subunit ribosomal RNA", at positions 28 to 507 of the family's 1533-position model. The record is from RNAcentral.